UGAAUCAUAACUGUGAUCCCGAACUC
Molecule: non-coding RNA, 26 nt
Filed under: Mus musculus (house mouse)
Lineage: Eukaryota; Metazoa; Chordata; Mammalia; Rodentia; Muridae
Source: RNAcentral